UUUUAAGCCUAAGAAUUUAACUUUGUUUUGUCAAAAGGUUCUCGAUUACAAGAAACGAUAGUUAAGCAAAGAUAGAUUAAGAUAGACAUUUCGAAGAGAGAUUCGAUAUUGAAAGAGUGAAGGAGAAAGAUCCUUAACCACCAGUAAAAACAACGAAUAAAAACACCAGAGCAAUUAAAAUGAAAGACUUAGAAACUUACCAGAAGCAGAUUUGAAGCAGUCAAAGAAAAAAAGAUGGGAAAGAGUUUAAAGCAGAUUCGAAGUGAGAGCUCUGCUUGUUGUUAUUCAACUUUUGAGCACACUUGAAC
This 308-nucleotide long non-coding RNA is filed under the name Solanum tuberosum (potato). RNAcentral describes it as "long non-coding RNA (STUB_LNC002492)". The record is from RNAcentral. Lineage: Eukaryota; Viridiplantae; Streptophyta; Magnoliopsida; Solanales; Solanaceae.